GCCGAGGUGGCGGAACCGGUAGACGCGAGGGACUUAAAAUCCCUUGGGUUUUUGCCCGUGCGGGUUCGAGUCCCGCCCUCGGCAC
RNAcentral lists this transfer RNA (85 nucleotides) under subsurface metagenome. RNAcentral describes it as "tRNA-Leu". It matches the Rfam family "tRNA". Rfam says of the family: Transfer RNA (tRNA) molecules are approximately 80 nucleotides in length. Their secondary structure includes four short double-helical elements and three loops (D, anti-codon, and T loops). Further hydrogen bonds mediate the characteristic L-shaped molecular structure. tRNAs have two regions of fundamental functional importance: the anti-codon, which is responsible for specific mRNA codon recognition, and the 3' end, to which the tRNAs corresponding amino acid is attached (by aminoacyl-tRNA synthetases). tRNAs cope with the degeneracy of the genetic code in two manners: having more than one tRNA (with a specific anti-codon) for a particular amino acid; and 'wobble' base-pairing, i.e. permitting non-standard base-pairing at the 3rd anti-codon position. The record is from RNAcentral.